RNAcentral lists this ribosomal RNA (495 nucleotides) under uncultured bacterium. RNAcentral describes it as "partial 16S ribosomal RNA". It matches the Rfam family "Bacterial small subunit ribosomal RNA", at positions 355 to 866 of the family's 1533-position model. The record is from RNAcentral.
UGGGGAAUAUUGGGCAAUGGGGGCAACCCUGAUCCAGCCAUGCCGCGUGAGUGAUGAAGGCCUUCGGGUUGUAAAGCUCUUUUGGCGGGGACGAUGAUGACGGUACCCGCAGAAUAAGCCCCGGCUAACUUCGUGCCGGCAGCCGCGGUAAGACGAAGGGGGGCUAGCGUUGUUCGGAAUUACUGGGCGUAAAGCGAGUGUAGGCGGUUGUCGUAGUCAGGUGUGAAAGCCUUGAGCUCAACUCAAGAAAUGCACUUGAUACUGGGUGACUAGAGGACCGGAGAGGAUAGUGGAAUUCCCCAGUGUAGUGGUGAAAUACGUAGAGAUUGGGAAGAACACCGGUGGCGAAGGCGGCUAUCUGGACGGUUACUGACGCUAAGACUCGAAAGCGUGGGGAGCAAACAGGAUUAGAUACCCUGGUAGUCCACGCCGUAAACGAUGGGUGCUAGACGUUGGCGAGCUUGCUCGUCAGUGUCGCAGCUAACGCGUUAAGCA